This 391-nucleotide ribosomal RNA is filed under the name uncultured bacterium. RNAcentral describes it as "bacterial SSU rRNA". It matches the Rfam family "Bacterial small subunit ribosomal RNA", at positions 29 to 411 of the family's 1533-position model. The record is from RNAcentral.
AACGAACGCUGGCGGCGCGCCUAAUACAUGCAAGUCGAGCGAGAAGGUGUAGCAAUACACUUGUAAAGCGGCGAACGGGUGAGGAAUACAUGGGUAACCUACCCUCGAGUAGGGAAUAACUAGCCGAAAGGUUAGCUAAUACCGCAUACGAUUCCAGGACUUCGGUCCUGGAAGGAAAGCACUACCGUGGGUAGUGCGCUCCUGGAUGGGCUCAUGUCCUAUCAGCUUGNGGUGAGGUAAAGGCUCACCAAGGCUUCGACGGGUAGCUGGUCUGAGAGGACGAUCAGCCACACUGGCACUGCGACACGGGCCAGACUCCUACGGGAGGCAGCAGUAAGGAAUAUUGCGCAAUGGGCGAAAGCCUGACGCAGCGACGCCGCGGUGGGGGAGU